AUUGAACGCUGGCGGCAUGCUUUACACAUGCAAGUCGAACGGCAGCGCGGGCUUCGGCCUGGCGGCGAGUGGCGAACGGGUGAGUAAUACAUCGGAACGUGCCCAGUAGUGGGGGAUAGCUCGGCGAAAGCCGGAUUAAUACCGCAUACGACCUGAGGGUGAAAGCGGGGGAUCUUCGGACCUCGCGCUAUUGGAGCGGCCGAUGGCAGAUUAGCUAGUUGGUGGGGUAAAGGCCUACCAAGGCGAAGAUCUGUAGCUGGUCUGAGAGGACGACCAGCCACACUGGGACUGAGACACGGCCCAGACUCCGACGGGAGGCAGCAGUGGGGAAUUUUGGACAAUGGGCGAAAGCCUGAUCCAGCAAUGCCGCGUGUGUGAUGAAGGCCUUCGGGUUGUAAAGCACUUUUGGCGGGAACGAAAAGGACUGUGCCAAUACCACGGUUCGAUGACGGUACCCGCAGAAUAAGCACCGGCUAACUACGUG
This 484-nucleotide ribosomal RNA is filed under the name uncultured bacterium. Its description in RNAcentral is "partial 16S ribosomal RNA". It matches the Rfam family "Bacterial small subunit ribosomal RNA", at positions 29 to 507 of the family's 1533-position model. The record is from RNAcentral.